GAGAAGGCAAUCGCCAGCCGGAUGUUGGUUACCGGUUUAAGUAUUCGAGGUGUUGAGAGACGGAGAAAACGUCUUGAGCUGAGGUACGAGUACGACCUCCUACGGGAGGGAAGUGGUAGAUGUCAGGCUUCCAAGAAAAGCUCUAAACACCAUAAACAAUGUCAGCCUGUACCCGAAACCGACACAGGUAGGGAGGUAGAGUAUACCGAGGGGCGCGAGAUAACUCUCUCUAAGGAACUCGGCAAAAUGGCCCCGUAACUUCGGGAGAAGGGGUGCUGACUUUAAGUCAGCCGCAGUGAAUAGG
RNAcentral lists this ribosomal RNA (304 nucleotides) under Chaetoceros affinis. RNAcentral's name for it is "partial Bacterial large subunit ribosomal RNA". It matches the Rfam family "Bacterial large subunit ribosomal RNA", at positions 1475 to 1790 of the family's 2925-position model. Lineage: Eukaryota; Bacillariophyta; Thalassiosirophyceae; Chaetocerotales; Chaetocerotaceae. The record is from RNAcentral.